Molecule: ribosomal RNA, 253 nt
Filed under: uncultured bacterium
Lineage: Bacteria
Description: partial 16S ribosomal RNA
Rfam family: Bacterial small subunit ribosomal RNA
Source: RNAcentral
UACGUAGGGUGCAAGCGUUGUCCGGAAUUAUUGGGCGUAAAGAGCUCGUAGGCGGUCUGUCGCGUCGGAUGUGAAAACCCAGGGCUCAACCCCGGGCCUGCAGCCGAUACGGGCAGACUAGAGUUCGGCAGGGGAGACUGGAAUUCCUGGUGUAGCGGUGAAAUGCGCAGAUAUCAGGAGGAACACCAGUGGCGAAGGCGACACGCUGGGCCGUACCUGACGCUAAAGCGCGACAGCAUGGGGAGCAAACGGG